Piliocolobus tephrosceles (Ugandan red Colobus) is the source of this 1394-nucleotide RNA transcript. It is a transcript of the gene named neurogranin, with no coding region annotated. The record is from RefSeq and is a predicted model, not a curated record. NCBI's taxonomy places the organism in Eukaryota, Metazoa, Chordata, Mammalia, Primates, Cercopithecidae. The transcript has 5 exons.
CAUUCGCGAGCGGAGCCGAGCGCGGGAGACCGGACCCGAGAGCUGAGCUGCAGGUUCGGCGCGGGUCGGCUGGCGGCCGACUGCCCCAGAGCCCCCACCCGGCACCACACAGACCCCACCCCCGCCCUGCGCCAGCCUUCGUCCCCGCCGAGGACCCCAGACACCAGCAUGGACUGCUGCACCGAGAACGCCUGCUCCAAGCCGGACGACGACAUUCUAGACAUCCCGCUGGACGAUCCCGGCGCCAACGCGGCCGCCGCCAAAAUCCAGGCGAGUUUUCGGGGCCACAUGGCUCGGAAGAAGAUAAAGAGCGGAGAGCGCGGCCGGAAGGGCCCGGGCCCUGGGGGGCCUGGCGGAGCUGGGGUGGCCCGGGGAGGCGCGGGCGGCGGCCCCAGCGGAGACUAGGCCAGAAGAACUGAGCAUUUUCAAAGCCCUCCCAGCCGGGGAAAAUGCACCCUGCCCCUGCAGGUUUUCUGAUACAUCCAGACCCCUGAGGCUGCGACGGGGACAUACAUAUGCAAAACCACCCCAUUUGGCUGCACAAGCCCGGCCGAGGGGCAGAAAUACAACGCGGCUCGCACACUUCCCGAGGAGAGAUGGAUGCCGCGUUCCCUUCGCAGCGACGAGACUUCCCUGCCGUGUUCGUGACCCCCUCCUGCCCAGCAACCUGCCAGCUACAGGAGCCCCCUGCGUCCCAGAGACUCCCUCACCCAGGCAGGCUCCGUCGCGGAGUCGCUGAGUCCGUGCCCUUUUAGUUAGUUCUGCAGUCUAGUAUGGUCCCCAUUUGCCCUUCCACUCCACCCCACCCUAAACCAUGCGUUCCCAAAUCUUCCUUCUUUUGCUUCUCGCCCACCUCUUCCCGCACCCAGCAUGCAGCUCUGCCUCCGCAGCCUCAGUGCGCUUUCCUGCGCGCACUGCGGAGGGCGCCCUAAGCGUCACCCAAGUACACUCACUUAAAGAAAAAACAAGUUCUUUCGUUCUGUGCGCAGCUAAAAGGGGCGCCCUACGUCUCCCUGCCACUCCUGCCCCAGCCUAGCCUCAGGACUUUGGAUCUGGGGUGAGAUGAAGGGAAAGUGUUUUUAUGGUUUCGGACGCCCCUUGCUCUGACCGGAAGAGAAGUCCCUAGCCCACACCUGCCUGUCACGUUCCCUCCCCUUUCCCCAGCGCACUGUUGAGGGAAGCCUCUCCAGCUCUCUUGUUUAUGCAAACGCCGAGCGCCUGGGAGGCUCGGUAGGAGGAGUCUUCCACGGCCCCGCCCCGCCCCUGUCGGCCCCGCCCCUCCCCCUCCCCGCCGGGCUCCUGGGGCUGUGGCCGAAAGGUUUUUAAUCUCCGUGUGUGCAUGUGACUGUGCUGGGUUGGAAUGUGAACAAUAAAGAGGAAUGUCCAAGUGUUCA